GACCCUGCAAUGGUUUGUCGGGAAGAGCUGAGCCUCUUGAUUGGUUGCGUUGCACCUGCAAUGCGUCAAGUAAUGAUGCUCGAAAAAUCCUGUUGUUGAAAGGUGAGUCAGCAACAAGUCUGUGAACAACAAGGUAGGAAGUUCUAUUUUAAAUGAGGCUUCACCACUAAUACAUUAUUAAAAGCAUGUUUGCAUAUGAAAAAUCCUACUGCGUCAGUUGGAACAUUGAAUAGGAACAUGGGUCCUGACCGCCCAGUUCCUUGACUUUGUGGGAGUUUUGCCUAAGAACAGAAUGCAAGGCUCAUAGUGUUCUACUGUAAGCAUUUUAAGGUUAAAUAAUUUGGAAUUUUUUAUUCCUUUUGCUCACUAUGAAAUAAGAGUGUAUUUUUAUUUUUAAAUUGUCCUGGUUGCCUUUUCACAGCUUUGCUGGUAUGAACACUUUUGACUGUAUAUUUUUCCCCAGAAGAAUUGUCUCUAAUAUUUUGCAAGAAUCUAAGCACAUGGUAGUUCCCAGCCAAGUGGAACAAAUAGAAUGAAACCUUUAUUGGAAAAUGAUAUGCCUGUGUAAUUAUAAUUAUAACAUUUAUGGGUGAAGCAAGGUUUGGUAAAAUAAAACAUAAAAGCAAGGUUAUGAGCUCAUUCCUUUUCUCACUUGGCCUUUUGGAAUAUGAGAGCAUCGCUUGGCAAUAUCACAUCUGAAAAACUUGGGUCUAAAACGAAGGAAUCUAAGGGUAUAAAAUAAUAGGGAAACUUGUUUUUAAGUGAUGUCUUUCUUCAAGAACAAUUGUGUACUAGUAAUGAUUUGUGUAGUAGAAAUUAUUCAUUUUAAUAAAAAUGUAAUUAUGCUGAA
This is a non-coding RNA of Chelonoidis abingdonii (Abingdon island giant tortoise), 850 nucleotides long. Lineage: Eukaryota; Metazoa; Chordata; Testudines; Testudinidae. The record is from RefSeq and is a predicted model, not a curated record.